GUGCUUACUUCAGCAGUACAUAUACUAAAAUUGGAAUCAUACAGAGAAGAUUAACAUGGCCCCUACAUAAGGAUGACAUAAAAAUUUGUGAAGCAUUCCAUAUUAAA
Small nuclear RNA from Dipodomys ordii (Ord's kangaroo rat), 107 nucleotides. The record is from Ensembl. Lineage: Eukaryota; Metazoa; Chordata; Mammalia; Rodentia; Heteromyidae.